Molecule: transfer RNA, 87 nt
Filed under: Faunimonas pinastri
Lineage: Bacteria; Pseudomonadati; Pseudomonadota; Alphaproteobacteria; Hyphomicrobiales; Afifellaceae
Rfam family: tRNA
About the family: Transfer RNA (tRNA) molecules are approximately 80 nucleotides in length. Their secondary structure includes four short double-helical elements and three loops (D, anti-codon, and T loops).
Source: Rfam by way of RNAcentral
GGAGGGGUGCCAGAGUGGUCGAAUGGGACGGUCUCGAAAACCGUUGUGCGGGCAACCGUACCGUGGGUUCGAAUCCCACCCCCUCCG